GUGGAUUUCAAUAAGAAAAUUUAUUUGCAAAGUGCAUAAAUCGAGAUGUUAUUGAAUUGCUAUCUUGUUAACAUUUGCCAUAUAGUUCCUUCUUCCCUAAACAAUAAAUGUGAUAAAAAGAAAUCAGAAAUGCCUAUGACAAAAAUCCAUUCACAUCUCCCAAAUGCUGGAGGUUGAUUAUAAGGUUAGCGUCUUAUUUAUUUUUAAAAUCUACCUCUUUUUCAUUAAUUUCUUUUUAACAUUGCCCUUCAUUUACAGAUGUUAAAUAAACAAUAAGCAAAAUACAAAAAUUAACCAAAAUAUACAAUAAUUAAUUUUUAUUGUUUGGUAAUUUUCUAACAGCUUAAAGGACAAACACAUCAUCUUUUGAGUGUCAAUAUAACAUCUUUACAGGACAUAUUUGCAAGGAAUAGCCUUAUACUUUAGAGAUAGCUCAUUACUGUUAAAUGACUUGACCAAUUACUUUGAAUUGAUAUUCACUUCUUGUGUAUCAUUUCUUUACAUCAAUGCAUAAAUCACUGGCUUUG
This 527-nucleotide long non-coding RNA is filed under the name Mytilus galloprovincialis (Mediterranean mussel). Lineage: Eukaryota; Metazoa; Mollusca; Bivalvia; Mytilida; Mytilidae. The record is from RNAcentral.